GAUGAACGCUGGCGGCGUGCCUAAUACAUGCAAGUCGAGCGAACAGACGAGGAGCUUGCUCCUCUGACGUUAGCGGCGGACGGGUGAGUAACACGUGGAUAACCUACCUAUAAGACUGGGAUAACUUCGGGAAACCGGAGCUAAUACCGGAUAACAUGUUGAACCGCAUGGUUCAACAGUGAAAGACGGUCUUGCUGUCACUUAUAGAUGGAUCCGCGCCGCAUUAGCUAGUUGGUAAGGUAACGGCUUACCAAGGCAACGAUGCGUAGCCGACCUGAGAGGGUGAUCGGACACACUGGAACUGAGACACGGUCCAGACUCCUACGGGAGGAAGCAGUAGGGAAUCUUCCGCAAUGGGCGAAAGCCUGACGGAGCAACGCCGCGUGAGUGAAGAAGGUCUUCGGAUCGUAAAACUCUGUUAUUAGGGAAGAACAAAUGUGUAAGUAACUAUGCACGUCUUGACGGUACCUAAUCAGAAAGCCACGGCUAACUACGUG
This 497-nucleotide ribosomal RNA is filed under the name uncultured bacterium. RNAcentral describes it as "partial 16S ribosomal RNA". It matches the Rfam family "Bacterial small subunit ribosomal RNA", at positions 28 to 507 of the family's 1533-position model. The record is from RNAcentral.